CCUUAACAUACUGCUACCUCUCUGAAGGAUUUCCAGGUUCAAACUUGAGAAAACAGUUAUAAAAAGCACUUUCCCCUCCUGUUCUCAAGGCCCUAACCUACACUCCCUGCUUUCAUCGCGUCUAUAGUGCCCACUGUGCAUUAAAAACAGCUUUCCUAGUGUAGCAGAGACUGCUCCAUGCUAAUUAUUUCUCCUUCCUCCUGAAUUUAAACAGAUGCAUUGCAAAGUUCCACCCCCUCCCCCAAACAGAUGACAUCCAUUUAUUAUGAACUCUGAUGCAAAUUUUGGAAUCUUUGGAUAUAAAAUGUAUUCCCCAUGCUUCCAAACCUGCAGUGUAAGUGAGGAAGAGGGCACAGGGUGGAGUAGUUGGUAGGAAUGCAUGGUUUGAAGUGUCCUAUUUAUCAGGCUGAAAAGUGAUCUCACUCCAUACUAGCUCGAGCUGAGGCCCCUGAAGGGGUCACACAGCCCUGGAUGGCUAAGCCCCAGAAAGUUAUCUGCCAAGUCUCCACCGGUGGUUGCUGGUGGCAAUGGAAGGGAUGGAACUGAGCUUCCAGGAGAAAUGCAGAGGCUUUGCAGUCCCCCAAGGUCUUCCAACAUAUUGCUCAUGGCAAUAAUCUUUUGAUCCAGGUAUUCGUCCUUCUCUCCUGCUCCACCUACUCAUGAUUACAGUGAAGAUACCAACAUUAAAAGGUAACCGGGCUAAGAAGACCACCAAUAUUUUGCACCUGGCCUUCCAAAGUAUAAUGGAACUUUUUCUGCAACACCUUACAUCUUUGGUAAGUCACCCAACCUCCUGAGCAGGAAGAU
RNAcentral lists this long non-coding RNA (807 nucleotides) under Fukomys damarensis (Damara mole-rat). RNAcentral's name for it is "lncRNA (ENSFDAG00000030077.1)". The record is from RNAcentral. Lineage: Eukaryota; Metazoa; Chordata; Mammalia; Rodentia; Bathyergidae.